GGGUUAGUCCUGAAAGGCAUAUCUAGCAAGCUUUUCAGAACGGCGGUCUAGGGACUUAAAAUCCGUUGACCGCAAGGUCGUGAGAGUUCGAGUCUCUCCGCCCCCA
RNAcentral lists this transfer RNA (106 nucleotides) under Timaviella obliquedivisa GSE-PSE-MK23-08B. RNAcentral describes it as "tRNA-Leu". Lineage: Bacteria; Bacillati; Cyanobacteriota; Cyanophyceae; Oculatellales; Oculatellaceae. The record is from RNAcentral.